Long non-coding RNA from Homo sapiens (human), 5398 nucleotides. Ensembl annotates it as ankyrin repeat domain 36B pseudogene 2. Its record names the gene ANKRD36BP2. NCBI's taxonomy places the organism in Eukaryota, Metazoa, Chordata, Mammalia, Primates, Hominidae. The record is from Ensembl.
GGGCUGAGAGUCUGUGCGAAGGUAGGUGGACAGACUGCAUUGCUUGUUGUUGCGCUUCGGAGGCGGCGAUCCCCGAAGGCGAGCUGAAAUACGGCUGGAGCGUUCCCAGGCUACAGUUUGUAGCCGACGAUUGUGGAAGACUAGGAGCCGGAGAGGUGGCCCACCCUCAGGGAGCGCUUGUGCUCGGAGGGCUUCUCAUUUCCCCAAUACCACAUUAAAUCGUCUCAUCUGAGGAGGAUCCACAGAGCUGUCUUCUAUGGUAAUCUGGAGAAACUGGAGUACCUUCUGCUCACGUAUCAUGACACCAAUGAGAGAGACAAGGAGGAAAGCAUCCGGUGAAAGACAGAGAUCACAUUUCAACUAGAUUCUUAGGAAGUAUGGAUUCACUAACUUCAGCGAAGCUUACCCUGAAAGAAGCAGAUCCCAGUUCAAAAGUAGCCAUAAGAAGGAAGGAUUCACCACCUCCAGGAAAAGUGUCUUCUCAGAAACAACCAGCUGAGAAGGCUGCAAGUGACGAGAAAGAUUCUGUUUCGAAUAUAGCCACAGAAAUAAAGGAGGGACCAAUAUCUGGGACAGUGUCUUCUCAGAAACAACCAGCUGAGAAGGCUGCAAGUGACGAGAAAGAUUCUGUUUCAAAUAUAGCCACAGAAAUAAAGGAUGGACAACAAUCUGGGAGACAUAAUUUUGCAAAGCAGAUUUAAUGUCAUGUUCAGCCAAGAUAGACAAGAACUUCUCUUCCCCGAAUAAAUCAGCGGGGGACUCUUUGAAGCUGCACAUUCUGAUUCAGCAGGCCUGAGAUUCUACAUUUGUAUGUCUUCUCAGAAACAAUCGGCCUGGAAGGUUAUAUUUAAAAAGAAAGUUUCUCUUUUGAAUAUUGCCACAAGAAUAAUGGGUGGUCAGAAAUCUGGAACAGAGUAUCCUGAGAAUCUGCCCACCAUGAAGGCUACAGUUGAAAAUAAAGAUUCUGUUCUGAAUACAGCCACCAAAAUGAAGGAUGUACAAACAUCCACACCAGAAGAACAAGACUUAGAAAUGGCAUCAGAGGGAGAGCAAAAGAGGCUUGAAGAAUAUGAAAAUAACCAGCCACAGCAACUGGAUGAUGCUCGCAACAAAGCUGACAAUCAAGAAAAGGCAAUACUUAAUAUUCAAGCCAGAUGUGAUGCUAGAGUACAAAACCUUCAAGCUGAGUGCAGAAAGCGCCGUCUUUUACUAGAAGACAGUAAAAGGUUGGUAAAUGAAUUGAAUCAUUUGAAAGAAAAAGAACGCCAAUAUGAAAAAAAGCAAGCAGAAAGAGAAGUAAGUAUCAAGAAAAAUAAGUAUUUUUCAAACUUCCUGAAGUAAAAUUUAAAGUAAUAUUUGGUUACAGCUGAAUGUUGGAUCUAGUUGAAUAUAAAAAAGAUACAUAUGAUAAAUAUAUCUGCUAUAUCAGCUUAGAAACAUUCCUUUUUUCCAGCAAGUCAAAGUUAGAACUGAGAGAUGCUUUCCUCUGAUUAAAGUCAAUGUGUCACUUAUAAAAUUUUAAGUUAUAAAAUGUUAAUAUAGACUAAUAUUAAUAAUGUAGUCUUAUACUGCUGAAAUAAUAAUUUUAAUGUAUUUAUGUUGCAACAUUUUAAGACCAUGAUAAAUCAGAUAUAUGGAAAUGCUCAUACCUAAAAUGGUAUUUUGAAAUUGAUUCAAUUAAAUGGGGUACUUUGACAGUUAAUUUCAGAUUUCCUAGAUGAACUGAAGUGUAUUCCCUAUUUCAUAAUUACUUUUCUUCAGUAGCUUGAAAUAUGUCUUUGUUGGUAAAAUUUUGUUUUUCUUCAUGUCAAUUUGACUUAAAUCUGAAACUAUUUCAAUCUCAAAUUAUGUAGAGAUAUGAUCAUUCUAUUCUUUAAAGGCGUCUAAUUUUACUUAUAUUAUAAUAUGGGGAAAAUGCAGUAAAUUUUAGCCAAAUCAUGUUUGAUUUUAUCUUCCCACUGGCAUUUAUAAUUUACUUUCAGUUUUUAAACAAAGAAUUUGCUCAUAAUUUUUAUUUCAAGGCUCAAUUACUAUCAUUUGGAUAUAACUUUGUCCAGGACAAAGAGAGGCAUAGCUAUCUGUGAUUUAUUAGUUUGACACUGGAUCCCCGUUUUCAGACUAAGGAGGAUUUCAGACUAAUGAGGAGUGGCAGGAUUCACGCAGAGUAGGAAUGGAGUGAGUCAGGGAGGAGAGAUACAGCAGCUGAGUCAGGGCAGGAGGUGGAGGGCAGGUUACUUAGAGCAUCUAAGGCCACUGGAGUUUUACUUUUCUUCUGAGAUAGACAUCUAUUGGAAGGAUUUAAGCAGAUGAUUUAAUGUGAGGAACUCUGAGGUUGAUUUGAGUUUGUAAUAAAAAAAAGAGGGAAAUCAUUCCACAAUGUAGAAUUUACCACCAUCAGUCUCACCCACAUACUCAUUUCUUUUUGAGACUUCAGAAGGUUUUUAAGCAUUGCAGAUUCAUCAGGGGAGGAAUGACUAGUGGGCUGAAUAUGCUAUGUGAAUAACAAUACCAGUUUGGCAGGAAGAUAACACCUUCUGUAUCCUUAACUGGAUUCAGUAAUGAACAGGGACGUGUACACAUGAGGAAAAGAAGGUGAAUCGGUCUGUGUGGUGGUAUUUUUCAAAGUGUAUGCUUUAGAGUUAAAUAUUAUUAAUGGUUUAAUAAUAAGGUGAUUUGUAAAAUCAGUAACAAAAAUAACAUCAGGUAGCUGUGAGACAGCUUUAACAAAAAUGAGAUGAUGUCUUAAACAAACAAUCAGCAACAAAAGCUUUGCUGGAUGCUUCAUCGCGUCACUGCAUCUAUUUAGAAAAUGAGAUGCAGGAUUCAAGGAAGAAAUUAGACCAGAUGAGAAGUCAAGUAUGUAUGCAACUUUGCACGCCAACAACUGUUAAUCUGUAGCUGGUUAACUAAUAUAAAGUGUUUUGGGGUACUAAUUUUAGUGGAUGGCUUUCUUUUGUAUUUUUAUUAUAAUUAAUUUUAUUAAAAUUUUAUAGUGGAUGGCUUUCUUUUGUAUUUUCCUUAUUAUUAAUUUUAUUACAAUUUUAUUAUAAUGCCACCUAUACCUUAAUCUCUGGCUUUCAUUCUGCCGUUUUUUAUACAUAUGUUUUUUUCUUAAAUAUUUAACCUUAGGAAAGUUGAGAAUUAUGCAUCAUUUCUCACAUAAGUUGAGAGAGUUUUUUUUCCUGUUAAACAGUCUAUUUUUAAUGAUUUCUCUAUUGGCAUGGUGAGGCAAGCCAGAUUAAUUCAGAGGAUAAUGUCUAAUGGAAUGUUUCAGAAAAUUAUCUUAUUUUUAGUCUCUACUUUUCUGAAUGUAUAAAGAACGUGUGUAUACUUAUUUCAUAGAUUUCAGGUUAACUUGUUCAGAAAGGCCAUUUUACUGAAUAAAUUUUUAUUUCGAUGAAAAUCCUUACUCUCUUUGUAUUGGGCUCAGAGAGCACACUCUGUCUCUAUAUGAAUAUGGACAGUUAGCAUUUGCCAACAUGUAUCUAUUUUCUCUUAUUUAUAGAAAAAGCUAAACUAAAAUGGGGGUUAUAGAAGGUCAGCAAAGGAUGGGUUUGAGAUGUUUGGGUUGGUUGAGUGGGCAUUUAGACAACAAGCCUUCUCCUUUGGCGUGUUUAAUGGACAUCUUUGCAGUUUAAGAUGAUGCUUUUAAAUUACUUCUCUCCUAAUGAUGACUUGAGUCCUGCUAUUCAAUGGGAGAGUCAAUAAGAUCCUGUAGGAUCUUAUUUGGAACUGACUUUGUCGAUUUUAAUUUUGUUCCUGCUUGUUUUUAAAUUUUCUUGUUGUUUCCCUAGAAAGGAAAGAUGACGCUUGGUUUUAAAUAUUUAAAAAUGUGCAAGUUGCUUUGCUAUAAUAAAACUAAAUGCAUACAUACAAAAAAUAACAUUAUAGUUGAUGUGGUAGUGUUUGGAAUUCAAAAUAUAAAUGCUUAGCAUGAGGUAAUCCUUUAUCUUUCCACAUUUUACCAGUUUGUAAGUUUGAGUAUGUAACUGAUAAAAUGUAAUUCAAAAGCAAGAAGAAUGUUGUGUUUCAGUCCUAGAGCAGGGGUCAGUGAACUUUCUGUAAAGGGCCAGAUAGUAUUAUUUAAGGCUUUGUGAACCAUAAGAUCCUUGUUGCAAUAACUCAGCCCUGUAGUUAUAGCACAAAAGUAGCCAUUAACGAUAUGCAGAUUGAAGGGGUGUAGCAGUGUCCCACUAAAAUUAAUUACAAAAAACAGGUAAUGGGAUGAUUUCUCCUACAUUAUGACCUUUUUUAAAUAAAAAAGAUUGUGAUAGUCUAAAAUAUUUUAUAUAUAUUUUGUUGAUUCAUUCAUCUACUGAUGGACAUUUAGGUCAUUUCUAAAUGUAAUUUUUUUUAAUUCUUUGUUUUAGCUUCAAGAAACACAGGAUCAACUUACAGCUACUAUAAGAUGUACUAAGGGGAUGGAAGGCGACGCACAAAAGUAAAAUUUGAAGCAGCGCACAAAAUAACUUGAGUAUUUAUAAAGCAAAAGAGCACUGUAGUAUGAAAAUUGUAUCAGUUAUGAUAAUAAGUAUGUCUUUGUGAAGCCAAAAAAGUUUCAUUUGUAAGCUGUAUUGAAAUACAUCAUUUUUCUACAUUAUUCCUAAAUUUUGCAUAUUAUCGACAAAACACAGUUAGAAAAAUGACACAGUAGCCCAAUCAUCUACUUUUGUGAUCGCUAAGAAUUUGUGUAAUUAUACCUUCAGAAGUUUGUUUAGAAUUUACAUGAUAAAAAAAAUUAUGUGUGAGAGUAAUUAUUUUAAAAUGCACAUUUUAGGCUUGAAGUAGAAAAUGCCAUGAUGAGAAAAACUAUUAAAAAACAGGAUGACCAAAUUGAGCGACUUGAGAAAAUCCUGCAGCGUUCAAGUUUGAUGCCACAGGUGUUCAAGAGCUAGAUGAAGAUAUCAACCUAUGAAUUGCCUCUACCAAAAAGCCUACAAUAUUGACACAAACCUGGGCUAGUAUCCCUUCUAUGUCUUCUAAUAAGUGCUGUCUUAUGCCUGUCACUGUAUGUAUGACUCUGUAUGGGAAUUGCCUGUUUGUUUUUUCAGAUUAUAGCAAACAGUUGUUGAGGGGUGGACCAUAUCAUCUUUAUCUUGUAAUUCCAGUGCUUGUCCUAGUACCUUAGCACAUGGUUGCUGAAUACAUGAAUGAAGAGUGAGAAACCAGAAGCUCUGAUAUUUAACUGCCGUGAUAAUGAAUUCAAUGUGCAACUAUGGGCAAAUUGUAUUUAAUAGUAAUUGCAUAUUGUACAUAUUUUUCAUUCUUAUUAACACUGAUAAACUUUUCAACUUAUACUGACUUUAAUAAAAUUGUAUUACUAGGCUAUUAACAUGAUAUUUUGUUUCCCAUUAAAUGUGACAUGCAAAGACGUUUAUUAAAUGAAAAUAUUUUUGUA